RNAcentral lists this transfer-messenger RNA (349 nucleotides) under Synergistetes bacterium ADurb.Bin155. RNAcentral describes it as "transfer-messenger RNA, SsrA". It matches the Rfam family "transfer-messenger RNA". From Rfam's summary of the family: Bacterial tmRNA, also known as 10Sa RNA or SsrA, is named for its dual tRNA and mRNA-like properties. Its role is to liberate the mRNA from a stalled ribosome. To accomplish this part of the tmRNA is used as a reading frame that ends in a translation stop signal. Lineage: Bacteria; Thermotogati; Synergistota. RNAcentral also lists the same sequence under 3 other names. The record is from RNAcentral.
GGGGGCGACAGGUUUCGACGGCAGGAUGGAGGGCUACGGGCAGCGUGCCGAGUUGCCGGGACUCGCAAAACACGGCGCAAACAAUAAUCGCCAACAAUAAUUACGCACUGGCCGCUUAAAUAGCGUCCACGUCCCUUGGGGUUUCCGUCGCCAGGACCCCCUGCGGACGUCACUUAUGGCGACUGCUCCCCGCGUAACGCUCUCGCGCGCGGGGUCAAGCUCCAGAGGGCUAGGGUGAGGGGAUCCCGUCUCCGGGAGCCCUGAACCGACAUCAAAACGGGGACUGCGCACGGAGAAACCCGCAGUCGGCCCCUGUCGGACCGGGGUUCGAUUCCCCGCGCCUCCACCA